RNAcentral lists this transfer RNA (85 nucleotides) under Elizabethkingia miricola. RNAcentral's name for it is "tRNA-Phe". It matches the Rfam family "tRNA". Rfam says of the family: Transfer RNA (tRNA) molecules are approximately 80 nucleotides in length. Their secondary structure includes four short double-helical elements and three loops (D, anti-codon, and T loops). The record is from RNAcentral. Lineage: Bacteria; Pseudomonadati; Bacteroidota; Flavobacteriia; Flavobacteriales; Weeksellaceae.
GGGGAGGUAGCUUAGGGGUUAGAGCAAGGGUGAUCACAUUAAAACAGUGCCUAAGGCGUAGGUUCGAAUCCUACACUCUCCACAA